UUUUGGACAAUGGGCGCAAGCCUGAUCCAGCCAUGCCGCGUGAGUGAAGAAGGCCUUCGGGUUGUAAAGCUCUUUCGGCGGGGACGAAACGGUUCGUGCUAAUACCACGGACUACUGACGGUACCCGCAGAAGAAGCACCGGCUAACUACGUGCCAGCAGCCGCGGUAAUACGUAGGGUGCAGGCGUUAAUCGGAAUUACUGGGCGUAAAGCGUGCGCAGGCGGUUUGUUAAGACAGGUGUGAAAUCCCCGGGCUUAACCUGGGAAUUGCGCUUGUAACUGGCAGACUGGAGUGUGGCAGAGGGGGGUGGAAUUCCAAGUGUAGCAGUGAAAUGCGUAGAUAUUUGGAGGAGCACCGAUGGCGAAGGCAGCCCCCUGGGCUAACACUGACGCUCAUGCACGAAA
RNAcentral lists this ribosomal RNA (404 nucleotides) under uncultured bacterium. Its description in RNAcentral is "bacterial SSU rRNA". It matches the Rfam family "Bacterial small subunit ribosomal RNA", at positions 362 to 758 of the family's 1533-position model. The record is from RNAcentral.